This 88-nucleotide unclassified non-coding RNA is filed under the name Pseudomonas psychrophila. The record is from RNAcentral. Lineage: Bacteria; Pseudomonadati; Pseudomonadota; Gammaproteobacteria; Pseudomonadales; Pseudomonadaceae.
UGUGGGAGCGGGCUUGCUCGCGAUGCAGGCGCUGCGGUUCUUCAGUAAAACCGCAUCGACCGCCAUCGCGAGCAAGCCCGCUCCCACA